AAGGUGGGGAUGACGUCAAGUCAUCAUGGCCCUUACGGCCUGGGCUACACACGUGCUACAAUUGUCGGUACAGAGGGUUGCCAAGCCGCGAGGUGGAGCUAAUCUCACAAAACCGAUCGUAGUCCGGAUCGCAGUCUGCAACUCGACUGCGUGAAGUCGGAAUCGCUAGUAAUCGCGAAUCAGAAUGUCGCGGUGAAUACGUUCCCGGGCCUCUGUACACACCGCCCGUCACACCAUGGGAGUGGGUUGCACCAGAAGUAGCUAGUCUAACCUUCGGACCGGUUACCACGGUGUGAUUCAU
RNAcentral lists this ribosomal RNA (301 nucleotides) under Pseudomonas sp. Cw1b. Its description in RNAcentral is "bacterial SSU rRNA". It matches the Rfam family "Bacterial small subunit ribosomal RNA", at positions 1170 to 1472 of the family's 1533-position model. Lineage: Bacteria; Pseudomonadati; Pseudomonadota; Gammaproteobacteria; Pseudomonadales; Pseudomonadaceae. The record is from RNAcentral.